GAAAGAGAAUCCAUAUAGCCGAUCUCAAAUUUUUGGGAUAAGAAUUUAGUUGAGUUAAGUUGAGUUAAUUUUUUUUUUACCGGGUAUUACUUUUGCACUAUGAAUCACGUUAGUCCACUGCCCUGUUCAACCACAUUUAGAUAUUGAGGGGUUAUUGUGCUUCAGGUGUGAUUUAAGAAUAUUUCAGUAGCAAACUAUAGGCUUGUCAUAUUGGUGAAUGAGAGAACUUUUUGACAGAGGUAGACCUAUUGUUACAUUGUCCUUGGCAGAUGCAUAACUGGAGAGAUUUUAGUUUGCUAAUUGUAAUUCUCUUUGUUUUGUAUUUUUUUUACCCCAUUUUAUUUAUUUUUACAUAAUUUAUUCUAUUACCUAGAGGUGGUUCAUUUAUGUUCCUGGUAACAUUCUUUAUGUUUUCUCAAUAAAUUCUUUGUUUAUGAA
This 438-nucleotide unclassified non-coding RNA is filed under the name Hevea brasiliensis (rubber tree). Lineage: Eukaryota; Viridiplantae; Streptophyta; Magnoliopsida; Malpighiales; Euphorbiaceae. The record is from RNAcentral.